GCCUCGAUAGCGCAGUAGUCAGCGCGCGAGUCUCAUAAUUCUCGAUGCGUGAAUUCGAACCUCACUCGGGGCA
This 73-nucleotide transfer RNA is filed under the name Daphnia pulex (common water flea). It matches the Rfam family "tRNA". Rfam says of the family: Transfer RNA (tRNA) molecules are approximately 80 nucleotides in length. Their secondary structure includes four short double-helical elements and three loops (D, anti-codon, and T loops). The record is from Rfam by way of RNAcentral. Lineage: Eukaryota; Metazoa; Arthropoda; Branchiopoda; Diplostraca; Daphniidae.